UACGGGGGGGGCAAGCGUUGUUCGGAAUUACUGGGCGUAAAGGGCGCGUAGGCGGUCAGACCAAGUCGAGUGUGAAAUUCCAGGGCUUAACUCUGGCGCGCUCGCUCGAUACUGGUCGGCUAGAGUGUGGAAGAGGAUGCUGGAAUUCCCGGUGUAGCGGUGAAAUGCGCAGAUAUCGGGAAGAACACCCGUGGCGAAGGCGGCUCUCUGGGACGGUACUGACGCUGAGACGCGAAAGCGUGGGGAGCGAACAGG
Molecule: ribosomal RNA, 255 nt
Filed under: uncultured bacterium
Lineage: Bacteria
Description: partial 16S ribosomal RNA
Rfam family: Bacterial small subunit ribosomal RNA
Source: RNAcentral